AACACAUGCAAGUCGAGGGGAAACGAUAUUGGAAGCUUGCUUCCGAUAGGCGUCGACCGGCGCACGGGUGAGUAACGCGUAUCCAACCUGCCCACCACUUGGGGAUAACCUUGCGAAAGUAAGACUAAUACCCAAUGAUAUCUCUAGAAGACAUCUGAAAGAGAUUAAAGAUUUAUCGGUGAUGGAUGGGGAUGCGUCUGAUUAGCUUGUUGGCGGGGUAACGGCCCACCAAGGCGACGAUCAGUAGGGGUUCUGAGAGGAAGGUCCCCCACAUUGGAACUGAGACACGGUCCAAACUCCUACGGGAGGCAGCAGUGAGGAAUAUUGGUCAAUGGGCGAGAGCCUGAACCAGCCAAGUAGCGUGCAGGAUGACGGCCCUAUGGGUUGUAAACUGCUUUUAUAAGGGAAUAAAGUGAGUCUCGUGAGACUUUUUGCAUGUACCUUAUGAAUAAGGACCGGCUAAUUCCGUGCCAGCAGCCGCGGUAAUACGGAAGGUCCGGGCGUUAUCCGGAUUUAUUGGGUUUAAAGGGAGCGUAGGCCGGAGAUUAAGCGUGUUGUGAAAUGUAGAUGCUCAACAUCUGAACUGCAGCGCGAACUGGUUUCCUUGAGUACGCACAAAGUGGGCGGAAUUCGUGGUGUAGCGGUGAAAUGCUUAGAUAU
RNAcentral lists this ribosomal RNA (660 nucleotides) under uncultured bacterium. RNAcentral describes it as "bacterial SSU rRNA". It matches the Rfam family "Bacterial small subunit ribosomal RNA", at positions 50 to 697 of the family's 1533-position model. The record is from RNAcentral.